CAGUAGCCACGGUAACACGGAGGGUGCAAGCGUUAAUCGGAAUUACUGGGCGUAAAGCGCACGCAGGCGGUCUGACAAGUCAGAUGUGAAAUCCCCGGGCUUAACCUGGGAACUGCAUUUGAAACUGUCAGGCUGGAGUCUUGUAGAGGGGGGUGGAAUUCCAGGUGUAGCGGUGAAAUGCGUAGAGAUCUGGAGGAAUACCGGUGGCGAAGGCGGCCCCCUGGACAAAGACUGACGCUCAGGUGCGAAAGCGUGGGGAGCAAACAGGAUUAGAUACCCCGGUAGUCCCUGUCUCUUAUAC
RNAcentral lists this ribosomal RNA (301 nucleotides) under uncultured bacterium. RNAcentral's name for it is "partial 16S ribosomal RNA". It matches the Rfam family "Bacterial small subunit ribosomal RNA", at positions 509 to 807 of the family's 1533-position model. The record is from RNAcentral.